UAAACAGAUUUUUGUAUUCGACUGUAUUCACGGCGUGAAACAGGGGUUUACAGUUAUUUUUAAACGGAAAGUGUAUCAAUUAACAUAAUAGACUCCU
This 97-nucleotide microRNA precursor is filed under the name Nicotiana attenuata. RNAcentral's name for it is "MIR6152 microRNA precursor family". It matches the Rfam family "MIR6152 microRNA precursor family". The record is from Rfam by way of RNAcentral. Lineage: Eukaryota; Viridiplantae; Streptophyta; Magnoliopsida; Solanales; Solanaceae.